CCUACGGGAGGCUGCAGUGAGGAAUAUUGGUCAAUGGUCGGGAGACUGAACCAGCCAAGCCGCGUGAGGGAUGAAGGUACAGAGUAUCGUAAACCUCUUUUGUCAGGGAACAAAGGCGGGGACGCGUCCCCGGCUGCGUGUACCUUAAGUAAAAGCAUCGGCUAACCCCGUGCCAGCAGCCGCGGUAAUACGGAGGAUGCGAGCGUUGUCCGGAGUUAUUGGGUUUAAAGGGUGCGUAGGCGGGCUGUUAAGUCAGCGGUAAAAGCCCGGGGCUCAACCCCGGCGAGCCGUGGAAACUGGGGGUCUUGAGAUGUCGAGAGGUAGGCGGAAUGCGCAGUGUAGCGGUGAAAUGCUUAGAUAUUGCGCAGAACUCCGAUUGCGAAGGCAGCAUACCGGCGGGGAUCUGACGCUGAGGCACGAAAGCGUGGGUAUCGAACAGGAUUAGAUACCCGAGUAGUC
RNAcentral lists this ribosomal RNA (459 nucleotides) under uncultured bacterium. Its description in RNAcentral is "partial 16S ribosomal RNA". It matches the Rfam family "Bacterial small subunit ribosomal RNA", at positions 338 to 795 of the family's 1533-position model. The record is from RNAcentral.